Vicugna pacos (alpaca) is the source of this 429-nucleotide non-coding RNA. Lineage: Eukaryota; Metazoa; Chordata; Mammalia; Artiodactyla; Camelidae. The record is from RefSeq and is a predicted model, not a curated record.
GCAGCUCUCGGGUACAUGUGAUAACCUGUCUUUGUUUAGAGAGCUUUACGCUGGAAAGGACAAGAAAAUAUCUCGGCCAAACCCUGCUUAUGACGCUGACUUCUCUCACACGAGUCAGGAAACCAUGAGUGGCCUACAAAUAGAAUUCCCUGCCUUGCUCUGAAAAUGCACACCCUUGGACUUGGCUUCUCCCAGUGACCAGCUUCUCAAAGACAAGAAAGGAAGGAAGCUCUCACACCUGUUUUGGUUUCAGAGGCGGAAGGGAUUCUGAGCCCCAGAGGAAGCUUUGAAAAGGUGAUACACUGAAAGCAUCCUCAAGACUAUGGCAAAUCCAGCAUCAAAACGGGAAGCAGAAGCUGCCAGGUCAUUUCAGAGCCACGCUGAGAACUGGCAGUGUCCCUUCCACUCUAUUCCAUCGGUCAAAGCAGC